ACUCAAAGGAAUUGACGGGGGCCCGCACAAGCGGUGGAGCAUGUGGUUCAAUUCGACGCAACGCGAAGAACCUUACCUGGGCUCGAAAUGCAGGAGACCGGGGUGGAAACAUCCCUUCCCCUUAAAAGGCUGCUGCAUAGGUGCUGCAUGGCUGUCGUCAGCUCGUGUCGUGAGAUGUUGGGUUAAGUCCCGCAACGAGCGCAACCCUUAUCCCUAGUUGCCAUCGGGUCAAGCCGGGCACUCUAGUGAAACUGCCUCGGAUAACGAGGAGGAAGGUGGGGAUGACGUCAAGUCCUCAUGGCCUUUAUGUCCAGGGCUACACACGUGCUACAAUGGUCGGUACAAACCGUCGCAAACCCGUGAGGGGGAGCUAAUCGGAAAAAGCCGGCCUCAGUUCGGAUUGGAGUCUGCAACUCGACUCCAUGAAGCUGGAAUCGCUAGUAAUCGCGGAUCAGAACGCCGCGGUGAAUACGUUCCCGGGCCUUGUACACACCGCCCGU
Molecule: ribosomal RNA, 500 nt
Filed under: uncultured bacterium
Lineage: Bacteria
Description: bacterial SSU rRNA
Rfam family: Bacterial small subunit ribosomal RNA
Source: RNAcentral